GUGAACAGCCCCCUUCUUUUCUCCAUAAAAACUUUAUUGAACAAACUGUUUAUCUUUGGUCACGUGAUAUUCUGGAAAACGAUCUUCUUAUGGAUACGCCCCCUUUUACAGGCUUCGGGGCCUUAGUGUCACAGUAACGUCACUAAUUCUAAUAGUAAGCUGCAAAGUAAGUACGUUUAAACUGUAUUAAAUAUAUUAUUAAACCGCAUGGGUUGCCACAUAAUUCAUUGAAAAAGAAAAAAAAACAGACGAAGUAAUCUAGUUUGAAGUUUGAUCAAUACAAACUAUUAUCAGUUGUAAUGUUCUUUCAAAGUUAUUUCAGCUGUUAUAAGGGGCCAUUUGAAGUUUAUUUCUUUAUAUCUGUCAGAUAUAAACAUCUUCAACGGUAUUAAGCAAACGUAAGGAAUAACAUUGGUUCGGUUUCUGGCACGUGAUCCCAGGUGACGUCACAGCUGAGGUAUAAAAAUGUUGUAGUCGAGUUUGCAAGGGAGCGAUCAUGUAACAUCACAGCCCUGUCCUCGCGGUGUCAUGGAUUUAAAGCAUUUCCUGUGCUUUGCUUUUACCACAUGUGCUUUGGGAUUUUCUUCUGCUCCCGAUGACCAAAAAGAAGUAGUAGAGGCUGGAAAGACUGCAGUACUGAAGUGUAACGAUUCCAGUAUUGGCAAAGUGGACAAGGUCACAUGGAUCAGGAAAGAUCUGGGAACAAAUCUGUAUGUUUUCUUCUACCGAGAAAAUCGCCCAUAUGAAAACAUCCAGCAUCCAUCCUUUCGUGGCCGAGUGGAGCUGAGUGAUCCACAAAUUAAACAUGGAAAUGUGUCCCUCACUCUCUACAACACCAACACUAAUGACACGGGAACGUAUGAGUGUCAUGUCGUAGGCCGUCAUGCAGGACGCAGUAAAAGAGCAGUUUCUGAAGUCCAGCAUGUGGUACAGCUGACUGUCAAACCUUCAAGUCAGUCAGGAGGACAAGAGAAGGAUGGAGCUGCUGAACCAAUUCCCGGUCUGUCAGUUCUUGUUGUUGUGACUGUUGUGCUUGUGCUUGUGUCUGUGGCUGCUGUUGUUGGUUUGUUGAUUAAGAAACGGCUCAAAAAAGGGUCAUACAUGUCUGAUUCUGAGGCACUUAACGUAGAUGUUUUAAAUAAACUAACUAACUAAACUGUGUCUCCUGUUGCAAUAUCCAUGUCUCUGUGCAGCAGUGUCUGCAAAGGUCAAACACAAUCUUGCAUUUGUUUUUCCCUGUCUUUCUGGAGGUUAAUUUGAUUUGAAAAUCACAAUACUUAAAUACAUGAUUUCUGUUUUUAAGUUAUCAUAUUAGUGUCAUAAAACAAAGUUGAAGCUAAUGUGUACUAAUGUUCUUGCAGACCACUGAGAGGAAAAAGCACAUCAUAAUGGUCUCAGUUAUCACCAACAGUACUUAGUGAUAAAAUAAUAAGUUUCUCCCUUUAACUGUAAUUUUUCCCUUUCCCUUUGACUUUCAUUUCUUACAUGGGAUUAUUAAUAUUGUUAUUAUUAUUAUUAUUAUUUUAUUAUUGAAAUCUAUUGAUUUUUAACAAUGUUUAAGUAAGGUUAUCUUGUAACCUUUUCAUUUUUAUGACUUUCUUAUUAUCAGUGAAAUGGAAAAAGAAAAUAAAAACGCCGUACAACAAGCUAUUUUAUCUGGAUGUGUUUUUAUUUUUUAUAGCUAUGAAAGAUAAUCAUACGAAUAUCAAGCAAAAAUCUAAUUCUGACCUCUUGUUUUUAUACCUGAUUUAAAGACAUAAAUCAGUCCUUGUUAGUUAACUACUGAACAAAGUCCUGCCUUCAAAACAAAGAAUGAUAACCUGAUAAUAAACCUAUAGUACAAGGUCAGGACCAACAAAAAAACUAAAACUGACUGGCUGACUGUGUCCAAAUGCAGUAAAGAACAUUUUUCAUUUGACAGCCAACAAUCAAUGUUACUCACGUCUGGUUUUAUUACUUAAAAAUAGAAACUCAGCUGCAGUAUUUCUGUUGUAAAUAUACAAAUAAGUGAGGAAAAAAAUGGGCUCAAGCUAUGUUGUCUUUGACAAGGAACGAUCCAGUACUCAAAGAGGCCAGUAAGUUGUUUAACAAAGACUUGAAAAAAAUGAGAGA
Long non-coding RNA from Oreochromis aureus, 2112 nucleotides. The record is from Ensembl. NCBI's taxonomy places the organism in Eukaryota, Metazoa, Chordata, Actinopteri, Cichliformes, Cichlidae.